CGGGGUGUGGCCCAGAUGGUUUAAGGCGCCUGCUUUGGGAGCAGGAGAUCCCGAGUUCAAAUCUCGGCAUCCCGACCA
RNAcentral lists this transfer RNA (78 nucleotides) under Parcubacteria group bacterium ADurb.Bin016. RNAcentral's name for it is "tRNA-Pro". It matches the Rfam family "tRNA". Rfam says of the family: Transfer RNA (tRNA) molecules are approximately 80 nucleotides in length. Their secondary structure includes four short double-helical elements and three loops (D, anti-codon, and T loops). Further hydrogen bonds mediate the characteristic L-shaped molecular structure. tRNAs have two regions of fundamental functional importance: the anti-codon, which is responsible for specific mRNA codon recognition, and the 3' end, to which the tRNAs corresponding amino acid is attached (by aminoacyl-tRNA synthetases). tRNAs cope with the degeneracy of the genetic code in two manners: having more than one tRNA (with a specific anti-codon) for a particular amino acid; and 'wobble' base-pairing, i.e. permitting non-standard base-pairing at the 3rd anti-codon position. RNAcentral also lists the same sequence under 2 other names. The record is from RNAcentral.